GAAUCGCUAGUAAUCGUGGAUCAGAAUGUCACGGUGAAUACGUUCCCGGGCCUUGUACACACCGCCCGUCACACCAUGGGAGUGGACUGCACCAGAAGUGGUUAGCCUAACGCAAGAGGGCGAUCACCACGGUGUGGUUCAUGACUGGGGUGAAGUCGUAACAAGGUAGCCGUAGGGGAACCUGCGGCUGGAUCACCUCCUU
Molecule: ribosomal RNA, 202 nt
Filed under: Halovibrio variabilis
Lineage: Bacteria; Pseudomonadati; Pseudomonadota; Gammaproteobacteria; Oceanospirillales; Halomonadaceae
Also listed under: 3 other names
Description: partial 16S ribosomal RNA
Rfam family: Bacterial small subunit ribosomal RNA
Source: RNAcentral